Small nucleolar RNA from Athene cunicularia (burrowing owl), 90 nucleotides. Ensembl annotates it as small nucleolar SNORD12/SNORD106. Lineage: Eukaryota; Metazoa; Chordata; Aves; Strigiformes; Strigidae. The record is from Ensembl.
GCGGGUGCAGGUGAUGACAGUUUUUUUCCCCAUCAGAGCGGCAGUGUUGAUUUCUCACUGUUCAAGCCAGAUCGUGUCUGAUGCACCUUG